GAAACUAAACAUACAUGACCUGGACUAACGGGAAUAGGCACCUAUAUGCUGCGAUUUGCGUUUGAUUUCCGAUACAGUAAGUACUUAAUAUGAACAGUCAAACCAUUCUACACUAGGGACUUGAUUUCAACAGGAAUGAAUUCUACAUUAGAAUCAACAGUCCGUCACAAUUUAAACAAUUCAAAUCAGUUAAACAACAAUCUUAAUUGAACAGUUGACAUUACAACUAGAACAAAUUACAGCUAAGUAACUACAUAGCAUCCUACUGAUUUCAGCUACUCAAAUAAGCACAAGUCUGGACAUUACUUCAUUUCAAUCCCAUUCAAAGCUACAUCGGUGAGAAGUCAAAUGUGUACACAGGAGAAGAGGCAUCAGCAAGAGUAACAGCAGCAGAUCAUAGCAAGGAUCAAAUGCGUUUCAACACAGCUCAACAACCUAGAAGUGUUUCUAAAAGAACCAAAUAGAAAACAGUAGCUUCACCAAAACAGCACCAAAUUGACCCAAAAUGAAACCAGAAUCAUUUGAACUUUCAACUACCCAAAGUUUCACCAAAAGCAGCUUAAGUAGACCAAGCUUACUCAAAAUCAAACCAGAAACAACUCUGAAAACUUCAAAUUCCCAGCAAAUGAACUGCGAAAGGCAACUUGGUUACUAAAACUGGAAACUAGAUAGAAACUGAAUGGAACAGUACUAUAUUUUUUAUUUCAAUAACUUUCUAUUGUUUUCUAUCUCUCUUUUUCAGUGUUUCUCCAGUCUAGCAAACUCUCUCUAUUUUUCCUUUUCCACUCUCUAAAAUGAUCUUAAGAUCUCAAAAUGCUCUUUAAGACUCCCUGGAAACUGAUUCAAGACAUACGUUUCUUUUUUCAGCUUUCCAAAUUUUCUAGACUAUCUCAAACUGAUCAAAGACUCUCUCCUCCUUGUUUUUUUUCAAGUUUAAUACUCUUAAAGUCUGAAAACUCUCAAAAAUAUGAAUACCUUAGCUUUCUAUCUUCGCUCUCAAUGACUGUCUGUAUUUUUUUCUCCCAAUGUCUGUCUGUAUUCUUCUCUCCCAAUGUCUGUCUAUAUUCUUCUCUCCCCCCUUGAAUGUGUGUGUGGUGUUUCUAUUUAAAGAUCAAGAUUACACGCCCCCCCCCCUCCCUUUCAAACCUUUUCUUUACAGCUUGUAUAUUUUCUUCCCACAUGUAUCCCUUUAGUCUUUUAUCAUUAUGCUCUCAUGUUACCUCUUUACAGCUCCUAAAAGGGAUUCAACAGGGUGUCCAUCUACUAACCAUUCCACUUUUCAUUUUUAACACACACCUUUUCCUUUUACCUCAGUUAUUUAGGCUUAAAUCCCAAAUUACCCCUAGAAUCCCUGAAACUACUACCCAUCAGCUGUAACCAAUCCACCUACCAAUCACCUAGUUGAUUAUAUUAAACUAGCUCUUAAUUAAGACUAGCACAACAAAACUGAAUUUAAACCAGGGUCAAGCUCAUCUCAAACUCCAAACUAAAUAGAACAACAAUUAGAUUCAAAUCAGUAAAUUCAACAUCAAUUGAACUCAAGUUGGAUCACACGGCAUUACAACACAGAAGAAGGAUUCAAGGAACAAACUAACACAAUUCUAAAUUAAACCUAAGCAAGAACAAAUGGACACUGUAAAUACACUGAACGAAUAUAAAUUGAAUUGAUAUGCAAAAUGAUGAACAACAAAGAGAAGGGAACCAAUCAUCACACAAAAUAAACAAUUUCAACCAAUAAUACCAGCAAAAAAUAAUAGGAAUAGUCACAGCUUUGUACAAGAACUUGUGGACAUUGACUACUUCAACUCAUUCAGACAAAUCAGAAGAAGAAAAAUUUAGAGUAAAACCUAAACAGACACGGGUGAAUUGGACCAGACAUUUCAAACAAUGAUAUUUGGGGAGAUACAGGGGAUUCAAGUGAUCUUAAUAAGGUCCAACUGACUUUAAAGUGAAACUAAAGGACAAACGUAUUCAAUCGAUUCAAAGGCCUAUAGGAUAUAUUAACAAACAGUGAAGAAAAUUGGACCAGAAAAAGGUCCGAAAGAGGAGGAAGAAGUAAUUGAUAAAAAUGAAGAAACAUAACGAAAUUAAUCAAACAAGCAUUAACAACAAUAAAAGAAAAAAUGAAAACAAAAGAAAUACCUCGAAAUUUUAGACCAAACCCAAUCCGCUUUAGUCAAAACUUCGACUUGAACUUUUGAGGCCAAAACGGACCUUAAUCGAGCGUUCUCUACUGAGAACACUCGACUAAAGUCGGUCAAAACCUCAAAUUCCCCACCUCGGACCGAUUCCAGGCCUGUGUUCUUUUAGGGUUCGCUCAGUCCAUUUGAAAUUCGAUGAGCUCUGCCAUGAUUCGAGCACAACUAACAUGGGAUUGGGAUGAGGGUAGCCUAGUGGUUCAGAGGUAUAACUUUGGGGUCAAACAGACGGCCUGGGAUUUUGGUCCUAUCUUGGAUCUAAGAUUCGAAAACACCGGUGAUGAUUCGAGGGACAAGGUACAUGAUUUUGGAAAGAGGGACAUUAGGUGGUUCAGGGGUAUUAUUUUAGUGGUCAUCGGCGUGAUUGCCGCCGGGUUUUGGGCGGUUGAGAGAGGCGAGCAGGGUUCGGCUUGGGGGGGUCCGAUCUUCGGCUUAUAUACAAAAUUAGGCUAUCAAUCUAGGCUGUUCGAUCUGAUGAGACGGCGUCAUUUGGCUAAAG
This 2697-nucleotide long non-coding RNA is filed under the name Nicotiana benthamiana. RNAcentral's name for it is "long non-coding RNA (NBEN_LNC004567)". The record is from RNAcentral. Lineage: Eukaryota; Viridiplantae; Streptophyta; Magnoliopsida; Solanales; Solanaceae.